RNAcentral lists this ribosomal RNA (380 nucleotides) under uncultured bacterium. RNAcentral describes it as "bacterial SSU rRNA". It matches the Rfam family "Bacterial small subunit ribosomal RNA", at positions 28 to 402 of the family's 1533-position model. The record is from RNAcentral.
AAUCAACGCUGGCGGCGUGCCUAACACAUGCAAGUGGAGCGACGAACCGGGCUUCGGCCCGGGGCAGAGCCGCGAACGGGUGAGUAACACGUGGGUAACCUGCCCUGAUGAUCGGGACAACCCGAGGAAACUCGGGCUAAUACCGAAUGUGCCCUCUGGCCUCAAGGCCUCUGGGGAAAGGAAGCUUCGGCCUCCGCAUCGGGAUGGGCCCGCGGCCCAUUAGCUUGUUGGUGAGGUAAAGGCNCACCAAGGCAACGAUGGGUAGCUGGUCUGAGAGGACGAUCAGCCACACUGGGACUGAGACACGGCCAGACUCCUACGGGAGGCAGCAGUGGGGAAUCUUGCGCAAUGCGCGAAAGCGUGACGCAGCAACGCCGCGU